Saccoglossus kowalevskii is the source of this 145-nucleotide long non-coding RNA. The record is from RefSeq and is a predicted model, not a curated record. Lineage: Eukaryota; Metazoa; Hemichordata; Enteropneusta; Harrimaniidae.
GCGUUGCUAUCGGACGGCAAUGGAGAACUACAGGAUAAAACAGCGACUAGGAAAAGGUGCACAGGGAGCGGUAUUUCUUGUUAAUAACAGGAACGACGGACUUCAAUAUGUUUUGAAAAAGGUUGAAUGCAAUGAUGAAGGGGAA